Molecule: ribosomal RNA, 412 nt
Filed under: uncultured Sporichthyaceae bacterium
Lineage: Bacteria; Bacillati; Actinomycetota; Actinomycetes; Sporichthyales; Sporichthyaceae
Description: bacterial SSU rRNA
Rfam family: Bacterial small subunit ribosomal RNA
Source: RNAcentral
UGCCAGCAGCCGCGGUAAUACAUAGGGUGCAAGCGUUGUCCGGAAUUAUUGGGCGUAAAGAGCUCGUAGGUCGUUUGUCGCGUCGAUUGUGAAAAUCUGAGGCUCAACCUCAGACCUGCAGUCGAUACGGGCAAACUAGAGUGUGGUAGGGGAGACUGGAAUUCCUGGUGUAGCGGUGGAAUGCGCAGAUAUCAGGAGGAACACCAAUGGCGAAGGCAGGUCUCUGGGCCAUAACUGACACUGAGGAGCGAAAGUGCGGGGAGCGAACAGGAUUAGAUACCCUGGUAGUCCGCACCGUAAACGGUGGGCACUAGUUGUGGGAACCUUCCACGGUUUCCGCGACGCAGCAAACGCAUUAAGUGCCCCGCCUGGGGAGUACGAUCGCAAGAUUAAAACUCAAAUAAAUUGACGG